RNAcentral lists this ribosomal RNA (253 nucleotides) under uncultured bacterium. RNAcentral describes it as "partial 16S ribosomal RNA". It matches the Rfam family "Bacterial small subunit ribosomal RNA", at positions 524 to 776 of the family's 1533-position model. The record is from RNAcentral.
UACGGGGGGGGCAAGCGUUGUUCGGAUUUACUGGGCGUAAAGGGUGCGUAGGCGGCGGAGUAAGUUGGGUGUGAAAUCCCGGGGCUCAACCUCGGAAUUGCAUUCAAUACUGCUUCGCUCGAGUACUGGAGAGGAGGCUGGAAUUUACGGUGUAGCAGUGAAAUGCGUAGAUAUCGUAAGGAAGGCCGGUGGCGAAAGCGAGCCUCUGGACAGUUACUGACGCUGAUGCACGAAGGCCAGGGGAGCAAACGGG